RNAcentral lists this ribosomal RNA (494 nucleotides) under uncultured bacterium. Its description in RNAcentral is "partial 16S ribosomal RNA". It matches the Rfam family "Bacterial small subunit ribosomal RNA", at positions 28 to 507 of the family's 1533-position model. The record is from RNAcentral.
GACGAACGCUGGCGGCGUGCUUAACACAUGCAAGUCGAACGGUGAAGCGCCUUCCUUUUUGGUGGGUGUGGAUGAGUGGCGAACGGGUGAGUAACACGUGAGUAACCUGCCCCCUUCUUCUGGAUAACCGCAUGAAAGUGUGGCUAAUACGGGAUAUUCUGGGUCUGUCGCAUGAUGGGUCUGGGAAAGAUAUUGUUUCGGUGGGGGAUGGGCUCGCGGCCUAUCAGCUUGUUGGUGGGGUGAUGGCCUACCAAGGCGGUGACGGGUAGCCGGCCUGAGAGGGGUGCCCGGCCAAACGGGAAGGAGGACCGGGCCCGACUCCUACGGGGGGCAGCCGGGGGGAAUAUUGCACAAUGGGGGCCAGGCCGAUGCCGCGACGCCGCGUGAGGGAUGGAGGCCUUCGGGUUGUGAACCCCUUUCGGCAGGGAAGCAGGGCCGCCUUGUUUGUGGGUGGGUUGACGGUAGCCUGAUAAGAAGCGCCGGCUAACUACGUG